GUUGUAUAGUUAAGUGACUAAGCGUACAAGGUGGAUGCCUUGGCAAUCAGAGGCGAAGAAGGACGUGCUAAUCUGCGAAAAGCUUGGAUGAGUCGAUAAGAGGCGUUUAAUCCAAGAUAUCCGAAUGGGGAAACCCAGUAGAUGAAGAAUCUACUAUCAACAAGUGAAUUCAUAGCUUGUUGAGGCAAACCGGGAGAACUGAAACAUCUAAGUACCCCGAGGAAAAGAAAUCAACCGAGAUUUCGUCAGUAGCGGCGAGCGAAAGCGAAAGAGCCAGUAAGUGAUAGCAGUAUAGUUAGGAGAAUGUGUUGGGAAGCACAAUCAAAGAGGGUGAUAAUCCCGUAUCUAAAAACCAUAUUGUAGUACUAAGCUAACGAGAAGUAGGGCGGGACACGUGAUAUCCUGUUUGAAGAAGGGGGGCCCAUCCUCCAAGGCUAAAUACUCCUGAUUGACCGAUAGUGAACCAGUACUGUGAAGGAAAGGCGAAAAGAACCCCGGUGAGGGGAGUGAAAUAGAACCUGAAACCUUGUACGUACAAGCAGUGGGAGCCC
Molecule: ribosomal RNA, 551 nt
Filed under: Haemophilus influenzae
Lineage: Bacteria; Pseudomonadati; Pseudomonadota; Gammaproteobacteria; Pasteurellales; Pasteurellaceae
Description: bacterial LSU rRNA
Rfam family: Bacterial large subunit ribosomal RNA
Source: RNAcentral